AUGGACCACCAACAGUCCAGGUUUUGUCAGUUUCUCCAUUGGAAUAAAACAAGAAAAUAUAUAAAGCCUGGACUGUUGGUGGUCCAUGGGGACU
Molecule: non-coding RNA, 94 nt
Organism: Pelobates cultripes (western spadefoot toad)
Lineage: Eukaryota; Metazoa; Chordata; Amphibia; Anura; Pelobatidae
Source: the annotation of a GenBank genome assembly